UAGGGAAUCUUCGGCAAUGGGGGCAACCCUGACCGAGCAACGCCGCGUGAGUGAAGAAGGUUUUCGGAUCGUAAAGCUCUGUUGUAAGAGAAGAACGUGUGUGAGAGUGGAAAGUUCACACAGUGACGGUAACUUACCAGAAAGGGACGGCUAACUACGUGCCAGCAGCCGCGGUAAUACGUAGGUCCCGAGCGUUGUCCGGAUUUAUUGGGCGUAAAGCGAGCGCUGGCGGUUUAAUAAGUCUGAAGUUAAAGGCAGUGGCUUAACCAUUGUUCGCUUUGGAAACUGUUAAACUUGAGUGCAGAAGGGGAGAGUGGAAUUCCAUGUGUAGCGGUGAAAUGCGUAGAUAUAUGGAGGAACACCGGUGGCGAAAGCGGCUCUCUGGUCUGUAACUGACGCUGAGGCUCGAAAGCGUGGGGAGCAAACAGG
Molecule: ribosomal RNA, 429 nt
Filed under: bacterium
Lineage: Bacteria
Description: partial 16S ribosomal RNA
Rfam family: Bacterial small subunit ribosomal RNA
Source: RNAcentral